CGAACCUUGCCUGAACUCCUCCACAGAUCAAGGGAGGUCAUCACCAGCUGUUGACUAAUUCAGUGAACUAAAAACGUACCAUCAGCACAGGCAGAACCCUUUAGAAAAUGGAAACUUCUCCAAGAACAGAAGGAUACUUCCCCCAUCUGGUCUCCUUGUGCCGGCACUAGCUAGGAGCAGAAGUUUGAUUUGAGUAGGGGAUGUGUCUUGGGGCUACAGUGUUACCUUCAUUACCUUCCCUUCAAAUGAGUCCUCAGGAACCUCCCCCAGGAGCCAUGAGCUUUCAAAAACUAACAGGACUGGUCAGACCAUGAUUCCAGCCAGCUUCCUCAGCACUGGGGCUGAGGCAUCCUGUCAGGUCCCAUGAAUGUCCAGCUUGCUUCAAAUGUUCCCUAACCUGUUAUCCCUGUACCAAGGGUACAGUUCAGGCCUUCCCAAUGGUCUCUGGGCCCUGGGAUUCCUGAAGAUCUCCUGAAGGUAAAGACUGAAGCAAAGGCAGCAUUGACUACCUCGGCCUUUUCCAUCGCCAUCGUUGUCCUUGCUCAUGAGUGAAGUUCACACAGUCACUGAGACCCCUUUUAGGAUGGGCUUUCA
Non-coding RNA from Cyanistes caeruleus (blue tit), 594 nucleotides. Lineage: Eukaryota; Metazoa; Chordata; Aves; Passeriformes; Paridae. The record is from RefSeq and is a predicted model, not a curated record.